RNAcentral lists this ribosomal RNA (798 nucleotides) under uncultured Glomus. RNAcentral's name for it is "SSU rRNA". It matches the Rfam family "Eukaryotic small subunit ribosomal RNA", at positions 314 to 1114 of the family's 1831-position model. Lineage: Eukaryota; Fungi; Glomeromycota; Glomeromycetes; Glomerales; Glomeraceae. The record is from RNAcentral.
AUCAACUUUCGAUGGUAGGAUAGAGGCCUACCAUGGUAGUAACGGGUAACGGGGAAUUAGGGUUCGAUUCCGGAGAGGGAGCCUGAGAAACGGCUACCACAUCCAAGGAUGGCAGCAGGCGCGCAAAUUACCCAAUCCCGACACGGGGAGGUAGUGACAAUAAAUAACAAUACGGGGUUCUUUCGGAUUUCGUAAUUGGAAUGAGUACAAUUUAAAUCUCUUAACGAGGAACAAUUGGAGGGCAAGUCUGGUGCCAGCAGCCGCGGUAAUUCCAGCUCCAAUAGCGUAUAUUAAAGUUGCUGCAGUUAAAAAGCUCGUAGUUGAAUUUCGGGACCAAUAUGUCGGUCGUGCCUCGGUACGUACUGGCAUCGUUGGUUUCUCCCUUCUGACGAACCAUGAUGUCAUUUAUUUGGUGUCGUGGGGAAUCAGGACUGUUACUUUGAAAAAAUUAGAGUGUUUAAAGCAGGCUCACGCUUGAAUACAUUAGCAUGGAAUAAUGAAAUAGGACGUUUGAUUCUAUUUUGUUGGUUUCUAGGAUCGACGUAAUGAUUAAUAGGGAUAGUUGGGGGCAUUAGUAUUCAAUUGUCAGAGGUGAAAUUCUUGGAUUUAUUGAAGACUAACUACUGCGAAAGCAUUUGCCAAGGAUGUUUUCAUUAAUCAAGAACGAAAGUUAGGGGAUCGAAGACGAUCAGAUACCGUCGUAGUCUUAACCAUAAACUAUGCCGACUAGGGAUCGGAUGAUGUUAAUUUUUUAAUGACUCAUUCGGCGCCUUACGGGAAACCAAAGUGUUUGGGUUC